UUAUUUAAUUUCCAUUACAGUUCGUGGGGUAUUUUGGAGAAAUUACAAGAUAUUUUCCGCAGCCUGAAACCCUACAUUUCCGCCGCAAGUCCCAGUCCCCAUUUCCCAUUUCCAUUUUCCAACUUGCCAAAAUGGCGAGUUUGAAUACUGAUCCUGAAAUUCGAACAAUUAUUCCUUUCACGAUCUGGACUCUUCAUAAAUGUUGUUGGGUACCUGUUGGAACCUCCAAACUAGAGCAUCUUGGUGGAUCCGACAUGGGUGUUGCAAUAGGUUGUUUUUCAUGCAUUUGCUUUUACACUCAAAAGCAACAAAUGCAUACACUCUGUGUAAGGCUCAAUGCAGUGUUAGUGUGCUAUUUGAAAGGAAUGUCAUUUUAUGCCACUUUUCUUAACUGCGAGCUCGGCCUGGACUGGUGAUUCGAUUUUGUCUCCACAUCCUCUCAUUAUUUGGAAGAAUUACUUGUGGUUCUAUUUUUGGGUGGAAAUCCUAGUGUUUUGAUUUAGUGUUGUAAGAAUUAGUUAUAUGGUUGCAUACUUCUGCUGCAGUGGCUAUACUCUUUCAUACUAGCAAUCGUAGUAUUAUCUAUGAGUUUCUUGUUAUUCUAUUUGUUACUAUUUAUUGUUUCUUACACUUCGAUUAUCGUACUAUUUUGUGGUA
Long non-coding RNA from Solanum dulcamara, 657 nucleotides. RefSeq lists it as uncharacterized. The record is from RefSeq and is a predicted model, not a curated record. NCBI's taxonomy places the organism in Eukaryota, Viridiplantae, Streptophyta, Magnoliopsida, Solanales, Solanaceae. The transcript is spliced from 2 exons.